This is a non-coding RNA of Solenopsis invicta (red fire ant), 46 nucleotides long. The record is from Rfam. NCBI's taxonomy places the organism in Eukaryota, Metazoa, Arthropoda, Insecta, Hymenoptera, Formicidae.
CAAACGGUUCUUUUCAGAACCAUCAAAUUAUUUAACGAUGGAACAU